Molecule: non-coding RNA, 103 nt
Filed under: marine eukaryotic metagenome
Description: Glycine riboswitch
Rfam family: Glycine riboswitch aptamer
About the family: This family represents the bacterial glycine riboswitch. Glycine riboswitches usually consist of two metabolite-binding aptamers domains with similar structures in tandem. The aptamers cooperatively bind glycine to regulate the expression of downstream genes.
Source: RNAcentral
AACUCUGGAGAGAGACCGGCCGUAAUCGGUCCACCGACGGGGCAAGCCUAGCUGGGGUAUCGCACCUCUCUAGGUCUAUCUCUCAGGUACUGGACAGAGGAGG